AUGGCGGCGGUGGCCCGCGCCUCCGGCUCACCCGCGAAGCGCGACGCGAAGGCCUCCUCCGCCUCCUCUUCCUUCCUCGCCUCCCCACGGGGCGGCGGUGACGGCUGCAAGGACGGCGUGCUGCGCUCGUCCCCUCCGCUCCACCAGAGGUACCCACUCCCUGUCCCCAUCCGCGCCCCGCUCGCGCUCGAGGACCCCCGAUCGCCAUCGGCCCUGGCCUCCUUCCGGAUCCUGCUCGCCAUCCUCGCCUGCCUCCUCCUCGGCGCGCUCGUGUCCGCCCCCUGCGUCUGGUCGCACGUCGUGAAUCCUUGA
This 312-nucleotide ribosomal RNA is filed under the name Triticum aestivum (bread wheat). RNAcentral describes it as "partial small subunit ribosomal RNA". The record is from RNAcentral. Lineage: Eukaryota; Viridiplantae; Streptophyta; Magnoliopsida; Poales; Poaceae.